GUAGGGUGCGAGCGUUAAUCGGGAAUUACUGGGGCGUAAAGCGUGCGCAGGCGGUUAUGUAAGACAGAUGUGAAAUCCCCGGGGCUCAACCUGGGAACUGCAUUUGUGACUGCAUGGCUAGAGUACGGUAGAGGGGGAUGGAAUUCCGCGUGUAGCAGUGAAAUGCGUAGAUAUGCGGAGGAACACCGAUGGCGAAGGCAAUCCCCUGGACCUGUACUGACGCUCAUGCACGAAAGCGUGGGGAGCAAACAGGAUUAGAUACCCUGGUAGUCCACGCCCUAAACGAUGUCAACUGGUUGUUGGGAAUUAGUUUUCUCAGUAACGAAGCUAACGCGUGAAGUUGACCGCCUGGGGAGUACGGCCGCAAGGUUG
Molecule: ribosomal RNA, 372 nt
Filed under: uncultured organism
Description: partial 16S ribosomal RNA
Rfam family: Bacterial small subunit ribosomal RNA
Source: RNAcentral